AAAGGAACUAAGGGCGCACAGUGGAUGCCUUGGCACUAAGAGCCGAUGAAGGACGCAAUUAACGGC
RNAcentral lists this ribosomal RNA (66 nucleotides) under Bitter gourd little leaf phytoplasma. RNAcentral describes it as "partial 23S rRNA". Lineage: Bacteria; Bacillati; Mycoplasmatota; Mollicutes; Acholeplasmatales; Acholeplasmataceae. The record is from RNAcentral.